UACGAAGGGGGCGAGCGUUGUUCGGAUUUACUGGGCGUAAAGGGCGCGCAGGCGGUUCUGUUUGUCGAGUGUGAAAGCCCCGGGCUCAACCUGGGAACUGCGCUCGAAACGGCGGAACUAGAGUUCGGGAGAGGAGAGUGGAAUUCCCAGUGUAGAGGUGAAAUUCGUAGAUAUUGGGAAGAACACCGGUGGCGAAGGCGGCUAUCUGGACCGUAACUGACGCUGAGGCGCGAAAGCGUGGGGAGCAAACAGG
RNAcentral lists this ribosomal RNA (253 nucleotides) under uncultured bacterium. Its description in RNAcentral is "partial 16S ribosomal RNA". It matches the Rfam family "Bacterial small subunit ribosomal RNA", at positions 524 to 776 of the family's 1533-position model. The record is from RNAcentral.